GAAAAAAUCGUUUGAGCUAUUAAAUCUUUUUAAUGGUGGGACUAUAUUGUGCUAUAGCUGUUAGUCCUGUAUUCAGACAUCUUUACCAUUUUAAUUCUGUUCGGCUUUCACUGGUUUAAAAUAUUUACUAGAACAAAAACUGUGGACAGGCGUCUAGUGCAAACUAGAAGGAGACCUCUUCAAAAGAGCCUCAUGCUUACUUUUAUAGCGCUUGUUCAGGCAUAGUCUUGCUCAUGUUGAUCUUUGGAAUGUUACACAGAGAUGUUAUAUGUCACAUAAAGGAGAUAUUGUAUUUUGUUGUGUAGCAGAAGUAUCAAGGCUUUCCUGUCGCUUUAUGAACACAGGAAUGAGAUGUGUCCCAAACCACACUUCCAUCUUGCUCUCUCUCGCCCUCCUGAACAAUCUCCACGGCUUCCUGCACACGCUGGUCUGUCAGGCAUGUCUUCUUGCCCUUUCCUUUGCACGGCGGAUUCAGAGGAGACGUUGGCGGGUAACUGGCUGAUCCGCUCAGGAGGACGGCGGCGGAGGAGCAGAGAGGAGCUGGGGUCCUGGGCGGGUCAUUGUGAGGGGGGGGCAGGCGUCAGUGACGAUGGGCCUGUUGGUUGUAUCCCGAUGGCAGGUGGAGGAGGCAGAACUGCAGAUGCGGAGGCAGCCUCUCCAGCCGGGAGAGACAGAGAAGUGGAUGAAGCCAUCGCCUACAUUCUGCGGUCUCUGGGUGCCACGGAUUCCAAAACAGCUGAAGCCUACAGAGAAAGAGUUGAAGCCAUCGUCCGUGCUCUGCUGUCAUACAAAGACUGCUCCUGUUUCUGGUCGAGGCUGGGGAUCGCAGUUGCAGGUGGAGGUGAGUGUGAGUGAACCGCUCUGCGGCUCUGUUAUGAGGCACACAGCGUCCAUUUGGGGUUUACGAUGCUGUUGCACUUUGGGUUUUGGGGGUUACCGCUGUACGGCACUGGGGUGCCUUGGCGGGGUUUUGCCAUUCUG
RNAcentral lists this long non-coding RNA (981 nucleotides) under Lepisosteus oculatus (spotted gar). RNAcentral describes it as "lncRNA (ENSLOCG00000023183.1)". Lineage: Eukaryota; Metazoa; Chordata; Actinopteri; Semionotiformes; Lepisosteidae. The record is from RNAcentral.